Molecule: ribosomal RNA, 426 nt
Filed under: uncultured bacterium
Lineage: Bacteria
Description: bacterial SSU rRNA
Rfam family: Bacterial small subunit ribosomal RNA
Source: RNAcentral
GUAAGGGAUAUUGCGCAAUGGGCGAAAGCCUGACGCAGCAACGCCGCGUGGAGGAUGAAGGCUUUCGGGUCGUAAACUCCUUUGGCGCGGGACGAGGAAGGACGGUACCGCGUAAACAAGUCACGGCUAACUACGUGCCAGCAGCCGCGGUAAAACGUAGGUGGCAAGCGUUAUCCGGAUUUACUGGGCGUAAAGGGUGUGCAGGCGGACCGUCAAGUGGUGUAUGAAAGCGCUCGGCUCAACCGGGCAAGGGUAUGCCAGACUGACGGACUAGAGUCUGAAAGAGGGUGGUGGAAUUCCGGGUGUAGUGGUGAAAUGCGUAGAGAUCCGGAGGAACCCCAGAGGCGAAGGCGGCCACCUGGUUCAGCACUGACGCUCAGACACGACAGCAUGGGGAGCGAACGGGAUUAGAUACCCGUGUAGUCC